CACACUGGAACUGAGAUACGGUCCAGACUCCUACGGGAGGCAGCAGCUAAGAAUCUUCCGCAAUGGGCGAAAGCCUGACGGAGCGACACUGCGUGAAUGAAGAAGGUCGAAAGAUUGUAAAAUUCUUUUAUAAAUGAGGAAUAAGCUUUGUAGGAAAUGACAAAGUGAUGACGUUAAUUUAUGAAUAAGCCCCGGCUAAUCACGUGCCAGCAGCCGCGGUAAUACGUAAGGGGCGAGCGUUGUUCGGGAUUAUUGGGCGUAAAGGGUGAGUAGGCGGAUAUAUAAGUCUAUGCAUAAAAUACCACAGCUCAACUGUGGAACUAUGUUGGAAACUAUAUGUCUAGAGUCUGAUAGAGGAAGUUGGAAUUUCUGGUGUAAGGGUGGAAUCUGUUGAUAUCAGAAAGAAUACCAGAGGCGAAGGC
This 422-nucleotide ribosomal RNA is filed under the name Borreliella garinii. Its description in RNAcentral is "bacterial SSU rRNA". It matches the Rfam family "Bacterial small subunit ribosomal RNA", at positions 309 to 722 of the family's 1533-position model. Lineage: Bacteria; Pseudomonadati; Spirochaetota; Spirochaetia; Spirochaetales; Borreliaceae. The record is from RNAcentral.